This 1324-nucleotide long non-coding RNA is filed under the name Canis lupus familiaris (dog). RNAcentral describes it as "lncRNA (ENSCAFG00000052146.1)". Lineage: Eukaryota; Metazoa; Chordata; Mammalia; Carnivora; Canidae. The record is from RNAcentral.
AUGGAGAAGGAGAGAGAAGAUACCCUUUACCAAAAGGAGUCACUGAGGCCUUAUGGAGAAGAAGGAGAGAGAAGAUACCUUUUACCAAAAGGAGUCGGACCAGCAGCUGUACACUUACAGUAUUGUUCGGAUUUUCUUAGAGGACCUAAGGCAGGUGGCAUCAAGCCAGCCCUCCCCCGCCUCCCUCUAGAGCCCCCUGGGAGCCGAGUGCGGGGCGCAGGCUUGAUGGCCCGGCCCGCAGAGGACAGGGCACCUCGCUGCCCAGAUGGCGCCGCCGCCUGCCUUCCUGCCAAGGACGGGACAAGCCGCAAAUUUCCCGCCGACCAUGUGUGAUCUCUGUGGUCUUCCUCCCAAGCUCUUCCUCCAGCCACCCUCGACUGCAAAGGCGGCUCUACUCCUGGCUCUCCAGCACCAAGCGGCUUCAAGAAAGAGAAAAUAAGGACACUAGGCCUCUGGGCCAUGGAGUGGCCCCAUCAGGAAGCUGACGGGGAGUAAAAUGCCACCUACACGGGGCCUCUGUGUGGCCUUGAGUGAGUGUGUCCCAACGAGCUUCGGAGUUUUCACCUGGGCCACAUAGGUGCUGUGGGACAGAGCGUCCCGGGUUUCUCCGGGUGCCAAGGAACCGAGGGCCCGGGCCUGCCUUUGAGAGCUGGUACAAAGCCGUCCUCCUCCUCCUCCAGGGCUGCGAGGUGGCAGGUCUUCCUCCCUCUCCUGGCAUCAGGGCACCAGGCAGCAGGGACAGCACUGGGGCCUGAGUGACAAGGAGACGAGCUGGAAAAGGCUGUUUGCAGGGAGGAGGAGCAGCCCAGAACCACCAACGCCCUGCGUGCAGGGCCCAACCCGCACAGGGUCCCAGGGGACCCGGACCCGGACAGGGCGGCCCUGCAGAGAUGCCGAGCAUUCCUUCCAAAGGGGGGCGAGCCCAGGAAUCUGUGUUUUCCUACCGAUGCUGACCUCAGGCUCCGUCAGCCUCUGAGUCUCCACAGCUGCAUCCCUGGGCUCUAUCAGCCACCAGUCUGCAAGCCACGGAUUGAAGCGCUUUUCAACCAGGAGAUAAGGACAUUGGUUUGGCGACACACAAUAGUCUAGUCUUGUCUUUUCAAGGAAGCUGUGAUUUUUCAAGACACCAGAUUUCUAACUGUACCAACCACUUAACAUCACACACACAUGAAGUGAUGGGCAGGAGUUACACACAUUGAUCUUCUGAACCUAUUUCCUUCCGUCUUUGCACCAUUGUUCCCUUUGUGCCCAACCUUCACGUCAUGAAGGCCACGCAGUCUCUCAAAUCCCGAGGCUACGUAAAGGAACAGUUACCCUGGAGACA